This 147-nucleotide ribosomal RNA is filed under the name Oxalis bifrons. RNAcentral's name for it is "5.8S ribosomal RNA". It matches the Rfam family "5.8S ribosomal RNA". From Rfam's summary of the family: 5.8S ribosomal RNA (5.8S rRNA) is a component of the large subunit of the eukaryotic ribosome. The record is from RNAcentral. Lineage: Eukaryota; Viridiplantae; Streptophyta; Magnoliopsida; Oxalidales; Oxalidaceae.
UCGACAACGGAUAUCUCGGCUCUCGCAUCGAUGAAGAACGUAGCGAAAUGCGAUACUUGGUGUGAAUUGCAGAAUCCCGUGAACCAUCGAGUCUUUGAACGCAAGUUGCGCCCCAAGCCGUUAGGCCGAGGGCACGUCUGCCUGGGU